UGGCCUCACCUAACAGUUAUUGAUACAUUUCUUAGUUAAGUCCGAUCCAUCGUUCACCAGCGAGUGCAAAGCCGUCAUUGGGUCCCUCACCUAACAAUUACUGGGUCCAACCCCAUCUUUACCUCGAGACAUCUAAUACCAAUAGAGUAGUUGUGCCUUUUCGAUGCAACCGAACCACUAUAACUAGUCGAGAAUGAUCAAUGUCGGAAGAGGCACCCGUAUCUCUACAAUGGUGGAAGACCAAUAGACUUAAUAUUUAGUGAGGAG
This 267-nucleotide long non-coding RNA is filed under the name Elaeis guineensis (African oil palm). RNAcentral's name for it is "long non-coding RNA (EGUI_LNC078317)". Lineage: Eukaryota; Viridiplantae; Streptophyta; Magnoliopsida; Arecales; Arecaceae. The record is from RNAcentral.